RNAcentral lists this transfer RNA (73 nucleotides) under Canis lupus familiaris (dog). It matches the Rfam family "tRNA". From Rfam's summary of the family: Transfer RNA (tRNA) molecules are approximately 80 nucleotides in length. Their secondary structure includes four short double-helical elements and three loops (D, anti-codon, and T loops). RNAcentral also lists the same sequence under 1 other name. Lineage: Eukaryota; Metazoa; Chordata; Mammalia; Carnivora; Canidae. The record is from Rfam by way of RNAcentral.
GCCUGUCUGGCUCAAUUGGUAGAGUGUGUGACUCUUGAUCUCGGGGCUGUGAGUUCCGGCCCCACGUUGGGUG